This 328-nucleotide ribosomal RNA is filed under the name uncultured eukaryote. RNAcentral describes it as "partial 18S ribosomal RNA". It matches the Rfam family "Eukaryotic small subunit ribosomal RNA", at positions 1470 to 1796 of the family's 1831-position model. The record is from RNAcentral.
CCCUUAGAUGUUCUGGGCUGCACACGCGCUACACUGAAGGGAUCAGCGUGUUCUUUUCCUGGUCCGAAAGGAUCGGGUAACCCGCUGAACCCCCUUCGUGGUAGGGAUCGGAGCUUGCAAUUAUUCUCCGUGAACCAGGAAUUCCCAGUAAGCGCAAGUCAUAAGCUUACGUUGAUUACGUCCCUGCCCUUUGUACACACCGCCCGUCGCUACUACCGAUUGGACGUUUUAGUGAGGAUUUUGGACUGAGCCAAUGGUGGUUCACACCACUGUUGUGCAUGGAAAGAUCUCCAAACUUGAGCGUUUAGAGGAAGUAAAAGUCGUAACA